GACGAACGCUGGCGGCGUGCUUAACACAUGCAAGUCGAACGGAAAGGCCCUGCUUUUGUGGGGUGGACGAGUGGCGAACGGGUGAGUAACACGUGAGUAACCUGCCCUUGACUUUGGGAUAACUUCUGGAAACUGCGGCUAAUACCGGAUAGGAGCUCCGGCUGCAUGGUGGUGGUUGGAAAGUUUUGGCGGUUGGGGAUGGACUCGCGGCUUAUCAGCUUGUUGGUGGGGUAGUGGCUUACCAAGGCUUUGACGGGUAGCCGGCCUGAGAGGGUGACCGGCCACAAUGGGACUGAGAUACGGCCCAGACUCCUACGGGAGGCAGAAGUGGGGAAUAUUGCACAAUGGGCGGAAGCCUGAUGCAGCAACGCCGCGUGCGGGAUGACGGCCUUCGGGUUGUAAACCGCUUUCGACUGUGACGAAGCGUGAGUGACGGUAACUGGUAAAGAAGCACCGGCUAACUACGUG
Molecule: ribosomal RNA, 468 nt
Filed under: uncultured bacterium
Lineage: Bacteria
Description: partial 16S ribosomal RNA
Rfam family: Bacterial small subunit ribosomal RNA
Source: RNAcentral